Long non-coding RNA from Balaenoptera ricei (Rice's whale), 637 nucleotides. RefSeq lists it as uncharacterized. The transcript is spliced from 3 exons. NCBI's taxonomy places the organism in Eukaryota, Metazoa, Chordata, Mammalia, Artiodactyla, Balaenopteridae. The record is from RefSeq and is a predicted model, not a curated record.
UAGGCCCCAGAGAUCCGAAGCUGCGGAUGGACAAACCGCCAAAGCACUUUCACUCCUUCUCGAGAGGGAGAUAGCGAGCGAGAAAAAGAAGCAAGAUGGCGGCUAGCCAGCCCCUACGUACGACGUCAUGCGGCGGCGUACGUAAGGCAAAUCCCCGCAAGACCGCCCCCCGGCGCAGAGACGGCCGGAUCACGUGAGGUCUCCGUGGCGACCCAACCCCGACGGAAGGUGACGGCGCCGCUUGCUGGACCGAGGGAGUUCCUGCGAUCAGAGCUCAAGAUGCAGGGUGAAGAUUUCGCCUGAGAUCUCUCCAGGAACUCUUUAAGAGACCGCAAUUACAGAUGAAUGGAUAAAGAAGAUGUGGCACAUAUAUACAAUGGACUAUUACUCAGCCAUAAAAAGGAACGAAACUGAGUUAUUUGUAGUGAGGUGGAUGGACCUAGAGACUGUCAUACAGAAUGAGGAUUAUGAAUCAUCCUUGGGACCUGUGUUUCAUUCUCAACCGAGGAGAUGGAGAGAAUCCGCGCUGCCCCUUCUGAGGGAGACUCUUUCAGCGUCACCUGGAACCAUGACCAUUUUAAAGGCCCAAGUCAGAGCCCUAGCUGGAUUUUCCAACCUCUCCCAUUGAACUGCAGCA